RNAcentral lists this ribosomal RNA (492 nucleotides) under uncultured bacterium. RNAcentral describes it as "bacterial SSU rRNA". It matches the Rfam family "Bacterial small subunit ribosomal RNA", at positions 34 to 518 of the family's 1533-position model. The record is from RNAcentral.
CGCUAGCGACAGGCCUAACACAUGCAAGUCGAGGGGCAGCACAAGGAGUAAUCUGAGGUGGCGACCGGCGCACGGGUGAGUAACACGUAUGCAACCUGGCUGUAAGAGGGGGAAUAACCCGGAGAAAUCCGGACUAAUACCGCAUAAUACUUAGAAUCCGCAUGGAUUUUAAGUUAAACAUUUAUGGCUUACAGAUGGGCAUGCGUAUGAUUAGCUGGUUGGAGAGGUAACGGCUCCCCAAGGCAACGAUCAUUAGGGGUUCUGAGAGGAAGGUCCCCCACACUGGUACUGAGACACGGACCAGACUCCUACGGGAGGCAGCAGUGAGGAAUAUUGGUCAAUGGACGCAAGUCUGAACCAGCCAAGUUCCGCGUGAAGGAAGAAUGUCCUAUGGAUUGUAAACUUCUUUUGAAGGGGAAUAAAGUACGGUACGUGUACCGUUUUGUAUGUACCCUUCGAAUAAGGAUCGGCUAACUCCGUGCCAGCAGCUGC